This is a non-coding RNA of Hemibagrus wyckioides, 1976 nucleotides long. The record is from the annotation of a RefSeq genome assembly. Lineage: Eukaryota; Metazoa; Chordata; Actinopteri; Siluriformes; Bagridae.
UUUAAGUUUAACUCUUUAAUAAUUUAGUUACUAAAUAUUUUACUAAUUUUAAUUAUGAGUACAUUUUUAUAAAGUAGACAUUUUUCCUGCUUUUUUUUGUUUGUUUGUUUUUCAGAAGUUUCCCAAACAAGGCUUAAAGCUUAAUGUAAAGCCAGGAUGUUUUACUGUCAUGUGAUGCUGUGAGGUGGAGCUUCCUGAAACUGAUGUUAUUAUGAUGUUAUUAUGUUAGAGUACAAAAAGAGCUUUUUCCAUUCUACUAAAACCAGUCAUUAAAAUUAAAUGUGCUCUGGACAGGUUUCCCAUAUGAGGCUGAAUGUAAAGCCAGGAUGUUUCAGUAAGAAUCAACAAUCUGACAACAACAUUGGUGACACUGUCAUGUGAUGCUGUGGGGUGGAGCAAUUUUGAAGCUUUAUGGUGUUAACAUAUUAGAUUACAGAAAGAUCUCCACUAUUUUCACUGAGCUAAGACCAGUCAUCAUGUUCACUGUUAUAUUCAUGUAUCUGUGGCUUUCACUAGGUGACUCCAUGGCAGAUUCAAUAGAGCCAGAUUUCCCUCAUAAAGCUGUAGAUGAAGGUGAUGAUGUUACUCUGUCCUGCACAUAUGAAACACGUGGUACAAAUUUCUACCUGCACUGGUACAGACAAUAUCCAAAAUCUAAACCUGAGUUCCUUCUUUAUAUUUACAAAACUGGAGCUCUAAGUGAAAAUAUUCCCCCAAGAAUGAAUGCUACACUUAAAGAUAAGAAAGUGGAUCUGAUCAUCUCCUCUGCUGCUGUAUCAGACUCUGCACUAUAUUACUGUGCUCUGGCGCCCACAGUGACAGGAAAUCCAGCUGCACUGUACAAAAACCUUCACACAGUUUUGUUAAACUCAAAGCAGUUCUGCUGGUGAUUUAGAAAAUUCAAACACUCCUAGAGGCAAUAUGUAAUUAAAUUAGAAGUGCACUAAAGACAAGGUGUGGCUCCACAUAUAUAACAUUGAACAAUAUGUAGUAUCAAAGGUCAUUCACUCAGACCAGCAUGAGGUAAUUUGGAAAUCUCUAGAACUAAGAAAUGAGUUUUAGACUUUGUAGGUUAAGAAUUAGACCUCACAUGAUUUGUUACUUCUGCUGUGAUGGAGUAUAUCUGAAAUUUAACACUGCAAUGUGUGUGAUUUAAAGUUUUGUUGCUUCAUUUUAUGUGUGUACUUUAAUCUGUUUGUGUUAAAGCAUUACACAGGAAACCUGCUCUCCACAUAGCAUUAUCUCUACAGAUGGUAUAACCACUACAGAACAAUUCCUGGUAUUUUUACACAUUUAAAUAGAACUGCCUUAUUUAUUAGUGCAUCAUUUGCUUUCUACUCUUGUGCACAGUGUUCAGUGUGAGAAACACUGAUACAAUCACACAGACCACAGAUUAUUAGAUAUGCUCUUGUCAUGUAAUGGAGUGCAAGCAAAGACUCUGAUGAAAGUGUGGCGUAAAGACAGAAUUAUUCAUUAAUAGUUCUCAAUAUAGACCUGUACAAAGCAGAAAGAAAGCAUAAUAACAUCAAAAACAUCAAAUCUCCCAAACUGUUAUUGUACAAUAAAAUAAAACUGAUUUAAAAAAACAUCCAAGUUUUUUUCUAUGCUAAUGAGACAGGAGAAGUGCAGAAAGUCACGUGACACUUCUGCAUGUCCUAAUUAGCAUAUAACAACAACGAUGGAAUUUCAUAUUAAGUUGAAACGUAAGGAAAAAGUCACAGAUUCAGUGAAAAAGACGUGUGCAGCUGCUUAUCAAACCUACUACAAUCAAAGUAAAAUACAUAUAGGUACAGAAAUUACAAGGUGGAAGGAAUGGAAAUGCAAACUGCAGUUGAAAUCAGAUGAAAACGUGACGUCUUUGUUACUUGACUUCAAGGUAUCCUGUUUCUGCUCACUCCCACUUUAGACUCACAUAACACUGCAUAAUAUUUUCAUUUUCUCAAAGCUGAAAGCAGGUUAAUUACAAAUCAGAGUGA